GGAUUAGAUACCCUGGUAGUCCACGCCCUAAACGAUGUGCGCUAGAUGUCGGGGGACUUGUCCUUCGGUGUCGGAGCUAACGUGUUAAGCGCACCGCCUGGGGAGUACGGCCGCAAGGUUAAAACUCAAAGGAAUUGACGGGGGCCCGCACAAGCGGUGGAGCAUGUGGUUUAAUUCGACGCAACGCGCAGAACCUUACCAGCCCUUGACAUGAUGACAAAAGCCGGGUGAGAGCCCGGUGUUCCUUCGGGAGGUCAUUGCAGGUGCUGCAUGGCUGUCGUCAGCUCGUGCUG
Molecule: ribosomal RNA, 293 nt
Filed under: uncultured bacterium
Lineage: Bacteria
Description: partial 16S ribosomal RNA
Rfam family: Bacterial small subunit ribosomal RNA
Source: RNAcentral